This 229-nucleotide ribosomal RNA is filed under the name uncultured bacterium. RNAcentral describes it as "partial 16S ribosomal RNA". It matches the Rfam family "Bacterial small subunit ribosomal RNA", at positions 524 to 749 of the family's 1533-position model. The record is from RNAcentral.
UACGAAGGGGGCUAGCGUUGUUCGGAUUUACUGGGCGUAAGCGCACGUAGGCGGAUUGUUAAGUCAGGGGUGAAAUCCCGGAGCUCACUCCGGAACUGCCUUUGAUACUGGCAAUCUAGAGUCCGGAAGAGGUGAGUGGAACCCCUAGUGUAGAGGUGGAAUUCGUAGAUAUUAGGAAGAACACCAAGGUGGCGAAGGCGGCUCGACUGGUCCGGUACUGGACGCGUGA